CUACGGACUUAAUUGGAUUGAGUCUUGGUAUGGAAACUUACCAAGUGAGAACUUUCAAAUUCAGAGAAACCCUGGAAUUCACAAUGGGCAAUCCUGAGCCAAAUCCUGUUUUCCGAAAAGAAAUAAAAGUUUAAAAAGUGAUAAUAAAAAAGGGAUAGGUGCAGAGACUCAAUGGAAGCUGUUCUAACAAAUGGAAAAGAUGUGAAUCAAAUCAAUUCAAAGUUGAAGAAAAGAUGGAAUAUUCAUUGAUCAAAUCAUUCACUCCAUCAUAAUCUGAUAGAUCCUUUGAAGAACUGAUCAAUCAGACGAGAAUAAAGAUAGAGUCCUAUUCUACAUGUCAAUACUGA
Molecule: non-coding RNA, 347 nt
Organism: Cajanus cajan (pigeon pea)
Lineage: Eukaryota; Viridiplantae; Streptophyta; Magnoliopsida; Fabales; Fabaceae
Source: Rfam